AUUGAACGCUGGCGGCAUGCCUUACACAUGCAAGUCGAACGGCAGCACGGGAGCAAUCCUGGUGGCGAGUGGCGAACGGGUGAGUAAUAUAUCGGAACGUGCCCAGUCGUGGGGAUAACGUAGCGAAAGCUACGCUAAUACCGCAUACGAUCUAUGGAUGAAAGCGGGGGAUCGCAAGACCUCGCGCGAUUGGAGCGGCCGAUAUCAGAUUAGGUAGUUGGUGAGGUAAAGGCUCGCCAAGCCGACGAUCUGUAGCUGGUCUGAGAGGACGACCAGCCACACUGGGACUGAGACACGG
This 298-nucleotide ribosomal RNA is filed under the name uncultured bacterium. RNAcentral's name for it is "partial 16S ribosomal RNA". It matches the Rfam family "Bacterial small subunit ribosomal RNA", at positions 30 to 329 of the family's 1533-position model. The record is from RNAcentral.